This 60-nucleotide transfer RNA is filed under the name Bifidobacterium breve. RNAcentral describes it as "tRNA-Asn". It matches the Rfam family "tRNA", at positions 1 to 58 of the family's 71-position model. Rfam says of the family: Transfer RNA (tRNA) molecules are approximately 80 nucleotides in length. Lineage: Bacteria; Bacillati; Actinomycetota; Actinomycetes; Bifidobacteriales; Bifidobacteriaceae. The record is from RNAcentral.
UCCUGCGUAGCUCAGUUGGCAGAGCAUCCGACUGUUAAUCGGACGGUCGCUGGUUCAAGC